AUGGCAGAGGAAAUUCAUGCUCUUGAGCGCACAGGCACUUGGGACCUUGUACCCCUGCCUACAGGCGUUAGACCCAUCACUUGCAAAUGGGUCUACAAGGUUAAGACACAUUCAGAUGGUUCUCUCGUGCGCUACAAAGCUCGUCUUGUUGCGCGUGGCUUCCAGCAGGAGUAUGGUCGUGACUAUGAUGAGACUUUUGCUCCUGUUGCUCACAUGACCACUGUUCGCACUCUUUUGGCUGUUGCUGCUGUUCGGCAGUGGUCCAUCUCUCAAUUAGAUGUCAAGAAUGCCUUCUUGAAUGGUGAGCUGCGGGAAGUGGUCUAUAUGCAGCCGCCUCCUGGCUAUACUGUCUCUGAUGGCACUGUCUGUCGCCUUCGGCGCGCUCUUUACGGGCUGAAACAAGCUCCUCGUACCUGGUUUGAGCGUUUCUCCGCCGUCAUCACAAGGAUCGGGUUCUCUGCUAGUGUUCAUGAUCCUGCUCUGUUUAUUCACACUUCUCCUCGCGGUCGCACCCUUUUACUACUCUAUGUUGAUGACAUGAUUAUCACAGGGGCUGACCACCAAUUCAUUGAUUUUGUGAAGAAACGUCUACAUGAGCAAUUCUUGAUGACUGAUUUGGGUUCUCUUCGCUACUUUCUUGGACUUGAGAUCAUUUCUUCCCCUGAGGGUAUUUAUCUCUCUCAAGAGAAGUACAUCCAAGAUCUUCUCACUCGUGCCUGCCUCACUGAUCAGCGCACGGUUGACACUCCUAUGGAGUUUGGUCUCCAUCUUCGUCCUGGUGAGGGUGAACCCCUUGCAGAUCCCACGCGCUACCGCCAUCUGGUUGGGAGCCUUGUCUAUCUAGGCAUCACUCGUCCUGACAUUUCUUAUGCUGUGCACAUUCUAAGUCAGUUUGUCUCUGCUCCCACUCAACUUCACUACAGUCACCUUCGUGUUCUUCGUUACCUUCGUGGUACCGUGACUCGUCGCUUAUUCUUCCCUCGCUCCAGCUCUCUUCAGCUUCAGGCCUACUGUGAUGCUACCUGGGCCAGCGAUCCCACUGAUCGCCGCUCUCUCUCUGCCUAUUGUGUUUUUCUUGGCUCCUCCCUGAUUGCCUGGAAGACCAAGAAGCAGAAUGCUGUAUCUCGCUCCAGUGCUGAGGCUGAGCUGCGAGCUAUGGCGUCCGUGACUGCAGAAAUUACUUGGCUACGAUGGCUUCUUCAGGAUUUUGGUGUUUCCACUGCUACACCGACCCCUCUGCUCUCCGACAGCACUGGGGCACUCAGCAUUGCCCGUGAUCCUGUUAAGCAUGAGCUCACCAAGCACAUCGGUGUUGAUGCCUCCUACACUCGUUCUCAGGUGCAAGACAGAAUUGUGGCCCCUCAUUAUGUGCCCUCGGAGCUUCAGCUUGCUGAUUUUCUGACGAAAGCUCAGACACGGUCCCAACACAGCUUUUUCCUGUCCAAACUCGGUGUCCAAGAUCCCCCUUGA
RNAcentral lists this ribosomal RNA (1470 nucleotides) under Triticum aestivum (bread wheat). Its description in RNAcentral is "partial small subunit ribosomal RNA". Lineage: Eukaryota; Viridiplantae; Streptophyta; Magnoliopsida; Poales; Poaceae. The record is from RNAcentral.